UACGUAGGGUGCAAGCGUUGUCCGGAAUUAUUGGGCGUAAAGAGCUCGUAGGCGGUCUGUCGCGUCGGCUGUGAAAUCCCGAGGCUCAACCUCGGGUCUGCAGUCGAUACGGGCAGACUAGAGGCAGGUAGGGGAGAACGGAAUUCCCGGUGUAGCGGUGAAAUGCGCAGAUAUCAGGAGGAACACCGGUGGCGAAGGCGGACUCUGGGCCGAUACUGACGCUGAGGAGCGAAGCGUGGGAGCGAACAGG
RNAcentral lists this ribosomal RNA (250 nucleotides) under uncultured bacterium. RNAcentral's name for it is "partial 16S ribosomal RNA". It matches the Rfam family "Bacterial small subunit ribosomal RNA", at positions 524 to 776 of the family's 1533-position model. The record is from RNAcentral.